AUGCCGCGUGAGUGAAGAAGGCCUUAGGGUCGUAAAGCUCUUUCGCCUGUGAAGAUAAUGACGGUAGCAGGUAAAGAAACCCCGGCUAACUCCGUGCCAGCAGCCGCGGUAAUACGGAGGGGGUUAGCGUUGUUCGGAAUUACUGGGCGUAAAGCGCGCGUAGGCGGACCAGAAAGUUGGGGGUGAAAUCCCGGGGCUCAACCCCGGAACUGCCCUCCCAAAACUCCUGGUCUUGAGUUCGAGAGAGGUGAGUGGAAUUCCGAGUGUAGAGGUGAAAAUUCGUAGAUAUUCGGAGGAACACCAGUGGCGAAGGCGGCUCACUGGCUCGAUACUGACGCUGAGGUGCGAAAGUGUGGGGAGCAAACAGGAUUAGAUACCCUGGUAG
This 385-nucleotide ribosomal RNA is filed under the name uncultured bacterium. Its description in RNAcentral is "bacterial SSU rRNA". It matches the Rfam family "Bacterial small subunit ribosomal RNA", at positions 394 to 793 of the family's 1533-position model. The record is from RNAcentral.